GACGAACGCUGGCGGCGUGCCUAAUACAUGCAAGUAGAACGCUGAAGAGAGGAGCUUGCUCUUCUUGGAUGAGUUGCGAACGGGUGAGUAACGCGUAGGUAACCUGCCUGGUAGCGGGGGAUAACUAUUGGAAACGAUAGCUAAUACCGCAUAAGAGUAGAUGUUGCAUGACAUUUGCUUAAAAGGUGCAAUUGCAUCACUACCAGAUGGAUCUGCGUUGUAUUAGCUAGUUGGUGAGGUAACGGCUCACCAAGGCGACGAUACAUAGCCGACCUGAGAGGGUGAUCGGCCACACUGGGACUGAGACACGGCCCAGACUCCUACGGGAGGCAGCAGUAGGGAAUCUUCGGCAAUGGACGGAAGUCUGACCGAGCAACGCCGCGUGAGUGAAGAAGGUUUUCGGAUCGUAAAGCUCUGUUGUAAGAGAAGAACGAGUGUGAGAGUGGAAAGUUCACACUGUGACGGUAUCUUACCAGAAAGGGACGGCUAACUACGUGCCAGCAGCCGCGGUAAUACGUAGGUCCCGAGCGUUGUCCGGAUUUAUUGGGCGUAAAGCGAGCGCAGGCGGUUAGAUAAGUCUGAAGUUAAAGGCUGUGGCUUAACCAUAGUACGCUUUGGAAACUGUUUAACUUGAGUGCAAGAGGGGAGAGUGGAAUUCCAUGUGUAGCGGUGAAAUGCGUAGAUAUAUGGAGGAACACCGGUGGCGAAAGCGGCUCUCUGGCUUGUAACUGACGCUGAGGCUCGAAAGCGUGGGGAGCAAACAGG
Molecule: ribosomal RNA, 765 nt
Filed under: uncultured Streptococcus sp.
Lineage: Bacteria; Bacillati; Bacillota; Bacilli; Lactobacillales; Streptococcaceae
Description: bacterial SSU rRNA
Rfam family: Bacterial small subunit ribosomal RNA
Source: RNAcentral